Triticum aestivum (bread wheat) is the source of this 96-nucleotide non-coding RNA. The record is from Rfam. NCBI's taxonomy places the organism in Eukaryota, Viridiplantae, Streptophyta, Magnoliopsida, Poales, Poaceae.
UCGAUGCAGAUGAGGAUACAUGAGUUUAUGGUUAAUUUGCAUCUGAGGCAUUUCUGUGAUGUCACACUCUUUCACCUUGGAGAUCUGAUGCAUCUG